GACGAACGCUGGCGGCGUGCUUAACACAUGCAAGUCGAACGGUGAUGCUCCAGCUUGCUGGAGUGGAUCAGUGGCGAACGGGUGAGUAACACGUGAGCAACCUGCCCCAGACUCUGGAAUAAGCGCUGGAAACGGCGUCUAAUACUGGAUACGAAACUGGCCCGCAUGGGCAUGGUUUGGAAAGUUUUUCGGUUUGGGAUGGGCUCGCGGCCUAUCAGCUUGUUGGUGAGGUAAUGGCUCACCAAGGCGACGACGGGUAGCCGGCCUGAGAGGGCUACCGGCCACACUGGGACUGAGACACGGCCCAGACUCCUACGGGAGGCAGCAGUGGGGAAUAUUGCACAAUGGGCGAAAGCCUGAUGCAGCGACGCCGCGUGAGGGAUGACGGCCUUCGGGUUGUAAACCUCUUUCAGCAGGGAAGAAGCGAAAGUGACGGUACCUGCAGAAGAAGCACCGGCUAACUACGUG
Molecule: ribosomal RNA, 468 nt
Filed under: uncultured bacterium
Lineage: Bacteria
Description: partial 16S ribosomal RNA
Rfam family: Bacterial small subunit ribosomal RNA
Source: RNAcentral